This 514-nucleotide ribosomal RNA is filed under the name uncultured bacterium. RNAcentral describes it as "partial 16S ribosomal RNA". It matches the Rfam family "Bacterial small subunit ribosomal RNA", at positions 28 to 523 of the family's 1533-position model. The record is from RNAcentral.
GAUGAACGCUGGCGGCGUGCCUAAUACAUGCAAGUCGAGCGAACAGAUGAGAAGCUUGCUUCUCUGAUGUUAGCGGCGGACGGGUGAGUAACACGUGGGUAACCUACCUAUAAGACUGGGAUAACUCCGGGAAACCGGGGCUAAUACCGGAUAAUAUUUUGAACCGCAUGGUUCAAUAGUGAAAGACGGUUUCGGCUGUCACUUAUAGAUGGACCCGCGCCGUAUUAGUUAGUUGGUAAGGUAACGGCUUACCAAGGCGACGAUACGUAGCCGACCUGAGAGGGUGAUCGGCCACACUGGAACUGAGACACGGUCCAGACUCCUACGGGAGGCAGCAGUAGGGAAUCUUCCGCAAUGGGCGAAAGCCUGACGGAGCAACGCCGCGUGAGUGAUGAAGGUCUUCGGAUCGUAAAACUCCGUCGUUAGGGAAGAACAAAUUUGUUAGUAACUGAACAAGUCUUGACGGUACCUAACCAGAAAGCCACGGCUAACUACGUGCCAGCCGCCGCCGUAA